ACCUUGCUGACGAGUGCCAAGCAGCACGAAACCCGGGUCCGGGGU
Non-coding RNA from Schistosoma margrebowiei, 45 nucleotides. The record is from Rfam. Lineage: Eukaryota; Metazoa; Platyhelminthes; Trematoda; Strigeidida; Schistosomatidae.